Molecule: ribosomal RNA, 253 nt
Filed under: uncultured bacterium
Lineage: Bacteria
Description: partial 16S ribosomal RNA
Rfam family: Bacterial small subunit ribosomal RNA
Source: RNAcentral
UACGGAGGGUGCGAGCGUUGUUCGGAAUUACUGGGCGUAAAGCGCGUGUAGGCGGCCUUCUAAGUCUGGUGUGAAAGCCCGGGGCUCACCCCCGGAAGUGCAUUGGAUACUGGGAGGCUGGAGUACCGGAGAGGAGGGUGGAAUUCCUGGUGUAGCGGUGAAAUGCGUAGAUAUCAGGAGGAACACCGGUGGCGAAGGCGGCCCUCUGGACGGAUACUGACGCUGAGACGCGAAAGCGUGGGGAGCAAACAGG